GAUGAACGCUAGCGGCAGGCUUAACACAUGCAAGUCGAGGGGUAACAGGAGAUAGUUUACUAUUUGCUGACGACCGGCGCACGGGUGAGUAACGCGUAUACAAUUUGCCUUUUACAGGAGGAUAGCCCAGAGAAAUUUGGAUUAAUACUCCAUGGUAUUACGGGAUCGCAUGGUUUGUAAUUAAAGUUUCGGCGGUAGAAGAUGAGUAUGCGUCCUAUUAGCUAGUUGGUAAGAACGGCUUACCAAGGCGACGAUAGGUAGGGGUCCUGAGAGGGAGAUCCCCCCAACUGGUACUGAAACACGGACCAGACUCCUACGGGAGCAGCAGUGAGAUAUGGUCAAUGGAGCAACUCUGAACCAGCCAUGCCGCGUGCAGGAA
Molecule: ribosomal RNA, 379 nt
Filed under: uncultured bacterium
Lineage: Bacteria
Description: bacterial SSU rRNA
Rfam family: Bacterial small subunit ribosomal RNA
Source: RNAcentral